AGGUACUUUCUGUGGCAUGUUUUCAUGGUGUGGGAAUAAGACUUGGUGGUCAAAUACAGCUAAUGUGUAGUUUAGCACCACAGCUUGUCUGCAAGGAUUGAAGCUGGGAAACGGCCAUUGGAGCUGAAUUUUAUGGAAGCUGUGGCUGCAGCAAUGAUUAUGUGAUAAAACUGAAGAAUGUUAUUCAAAUUUUUUUUGUAUAUAUUUCAAAAAAUGUAAUUUUUUAUAAAAAAAAAAAAAAAAAAAAAAAAA
Molecule: long non-coding RNA, 252 nt
Organism: Mytilus trossulus (common blue mussel)
Lineage: Eukaryota; Metazoa; Mollusca; Bivalvia; Mytilida; Mytilidae
Exons: 3
Source: RefSeq, a predicted model, not a curated record